GUUUUGAAGAAAUUCCUUAGGGAGAGGGAAGCAAUCAAUAAAGAAAUUAAGAUUAUGUGAGAGCCUAAGGCAAUUCCUUAUCCCCUCUGAAUUUCAGUUCCCUUAACUGCAAAGCUUCAGUGAGAAAAGUCUUUAUACCAUCAGCUCAACAACAGUAAUGCUGGGCACUUACUAUGGGUCAGGGAUUACUAACUGCUGUCUUACAUAAAUACCUCAUUUAAUCAUCACAACAACUCUGCAAAAUAGAUACUAUUGUUAUUCCCGUAUUAUAGCUAAAGGUUACAGAGGUAAAAUAAAUUUCCCAGUGUCAUACAUCGUUAAAAGAUAGAGGGAAAUUGUAGAGGGGUCUGAUGCCGAAAUCCACAUUCCCAGUUACUGCGAUGUUCUGUCUGCCUCCAUAGUGGCUUCUCCAUAAAAGGAAGCCACACUGUCAUGGCCACCUUCACCCAAAGGUAUCUGGCAACCUGAGUGAUGAUGGCAUGGCUGUAUGAUGGGGGCUUUGCCUGUAUCUCUGAACCAAUCAAGGUAGGAUGGUGACGUUUCUAAUAACUAACCAGUGAUGUGUCCCUGGUUGUUUGGGUCGUUCAUGUGGUUUGAAUGCCUAGGUAAUGGCAAAAAUGGCUCUUGAUAAAUGGGGAGAAGUUUCCCAAAUUAAGGAGCAUUCUAGGAAGGGAUGCUUCCGCCUUCAGAAGGGAGAAAAAGAAAGACAUUAAUGUUUGUGAGGUGCCAGCUCUUUAUUGGCCAAGUACUUUGCCAUUUGAUUUGCGUAGUUCUCUCAAUUAAACCUUACAUAGCCCAUGAAGGUAGUUUUGUUUCAUCGAUAAGUUCACUUAAACCUAGAGAAGUGAAGUGUCAUACCCGAGGUCACGCAACAAAGUGAAUAGUAGGGGGAAGAUUUAAACUUGUCUGUCGGUCCCCAAUGGCCACAGUCUUCCCAUAUCACACUACCUUCCUGACUUGUUUAUGUGUAUAUUUUAACCUCUCUCAGCCAUAUAGAGACCAGCACAUGCUCCCCAUGACACCCCCCACUCCCCACCACCCCCCACACCCUGCCUGUCAGCUCCCCCAGACUGUGUCCUCAUCGUCUUUCACAUCAAGUGGGAGCUGUGAUGAGUCCUGUGCUUCUCCAUCAUCAUUAGAUUGCUUCUUAGAAAUUGGCAAGGCUAGAGAGACAGUGUGUGCUGCUGGGGGUUCUGGAUCACUGCACUAAAGCACUGCAUCAUUCAUUCAUCUAUGCUAUUGUGUAGGCUAGUUGUGCUUCAGGAGAAAGCGGUGACUCCUUGGCAUAAAAUCCAGAGGAGCUUGCAGAGUGUCCUCCACUGGGCAUUUAAAUCUCAAGACAGGCGUCAAUGUUGCCCUUUGAACAGGUGCUGCCGCUGAGGAAUGGGGGAAUGGCCAGAAGAUGUGGAAUUCACCCAGAUGCCUGUGGGUGUCCCCAGGAGGCAAAUAGGAGCUUCUCCAUCAGAAUCCAGGGCUCACUAUCAGGCCCACUCACUGGCCUCAAAUCAUCAGAGGGAGAAAGAAAGACGUGGCUUGUAAUUUGCACUGAGGUAUAUGGAGCUUGGUGCGCUGCUGUCAUUCAUUUAUUCAUUUAAUUAUUCAUUCAUUUCUUUCACAGGCCUUGCAAUUCUAUUGUGUGUUAGAUGCUGAGCUGAACCAGGGAACCAGACACAAACCCAGGGCUUGUAUAUGGAGUGAUCCAUUGAGUGACAAUGCUUCACUACCUUUUUAUCUGUUGUGACUCAUGGCAUGUGCAGUCUUAGGCAAGCAGUGAUGGUUAUUGCUCCCCUUUGUUGAAUGGUUCGUUACUCUAGUGCAUUAGAAGACUCUGGGCAAGGAGGAAUAACAGAUCAGGACCCGUGGUCCACCUGUUACCAGGCAACGUCUUUCGUACACCUCACAUUGAAGGGUCCCACCUUGAGUCACUGUGUCACUCAAAGCCAUUUGGCUGUCUUUUCUGCUAUAGCCAAUUUGAGCCCCUUACCAUGUCUAUCCUCUGGAGCAGGACUCGGAGCUCCCCUUCACAGAAGCUCAGGCACUGUUCCGACACAGUCUGCUAUUCACAGCCUCAUUCGUCCAUGCAGCGGGACAGAAAUCAGACGUGUCUGAGGAUGCAUUCUGGGCCUGCCACGUGUUAGCAGGUGAUGAAGGACAGUCCAUUAGUGCCAGAGCUUUGAUGACGUCCUCCGUAAGAGGGGAUCGCUUGCUCUGCCUCAGAGGUCAGCUGGGAGCCUUCAGUGAGAUGAAGGAGAUGCUCCAGCAAUUACUGUUUCACAUCAGUUCUUUUGCUACCCAGGAAAGCACGUUUGGAAAUAUUUGACUCAUGGAAUAAAAACCCUCCUGCACUGGGCCUGGUUUAUUCUCUACCCCCACGAGUAGAGAGUGCAUAGCUCUUCCUAUCCCAGCGUUUGGUGUUGACUAACUCUGGUUAACUCUGUCCGCCAGACUGGGACACCAGACCUGAGAGUCAACGUGAAUUUGUUCUCGUAUCUGUAGCUCGGUUCAGGCCUGCCAUGUGGUAGGUAAUUCAUACAUGCUUGUUAAAUUAAAGGAUGUCUCAGUGUCGGAACCCCACUGCGAAAUGCCAGGCACCUCCAUGACUUUAUCUCUAUGAUGAUAUUUGAAUCUCGUCACCCUCAGAUUAGAUAGUACCUCCUGAGACGCUUUCAUUUCCAGAGCUGUUAUCUUUUUAAGAAAAUAAUAAUUUAGAAAGACUCUGUAUUAAGAAUGCCAUUUCAAACUGCUUGACUGUCUUGGAGUGUAGCCAUUUGAUUAUACAGCUAAGACUGAUAUUAUGAAAUCCUGCAGCUUUCUGGGAAAACCCAGAAGGCUCAUACUUGAUUAUAAAAUCAAGUUUGCCACAAUUGGAACAGUGCUUGUGUCAGCAGAGUUUCUUUAAUGAGAAGGUGAUUUGAACCGAAAUGUCCGCAUUAUUUUGUUUACUCGAGGUCUAAGUAUGUAACUCGCUUCAUGCUUCAUUCAGUCACAUUAAACCCUUCCUGUAAACCAUCUUAUUCAAACACAGAAUUUUUUAAAUUUAGUGAAUUCCAAGUGCCUGGAAAUACACAUUUUUUAAUUUAUUCUUAGUUUAGGGAUUAAAAAAACUGAGGCUGAGAUGAAAAUGAGUACAGGUUAAAGAAAGGCCCCAGGAGUUCCCAUCCUGGCGCAGUGGUUAACGAAUCCGACUAGGAACCAUGAGGUUGCCGGUUCGAUCCCUGGCCUCGCUCAGUGGGUCGAGGAUCCGGUGUUGCCGUGAGCUGUGGUGUGGGUUGCAGACACACCUUGGAUCCCGUGUUGCUGUGGCUGUGGUGUAGGCCAGCGGCUACAGCUCCGAUUCAUCCCCUAGCCUGGGAACCUCCAUGUGCCAAGAAAAAG
This 3375-nucleotide long non-coding RNA is filed under the name Sus scrofa (pig). RNAcentral describes it as "lncRNA (ENSSSCG00000060183.1)". Lineage: Eukaryota; Metazoa; Chordata; Mammalia; Artiodactyla; Suidae. The record is from RNAcentral.